This 74-nucleotide transfer RNA is filed under the name Gammaproteobacteria bacterium. Its description in RNAcentral is "tRNA-Met". It matches the Rfam family "tRNA". Rfam says of the family: Transfer RNA (tRNA) molecules are approximately 80 nucleotides in length. Lineage: Bacteria; Pseudomonadati; Pseudomonadota; Gammaproteobacteria. The record is from RNAcentral. RNAcentral also lists the same sequence under 2 other names.
GGGCCUGUAGCUCAGCCGGUUAGAGCAGGGGACUCAUAAUCCCUUGGUCCUGGGUUCGAAUCCCAGCGGGCCCA